RNAcentral lists this long non-coding RNA (1852 nucleotides) under Homo sapiens (human). RNAcentral describes it as "non-protein coding IL12A-AS1:13". The record is from RNAcentral. Lineage: Eukaryota; Metazoa; Chordata; Mammalia; Primates; Hominidae.
AAUCGCCCCACAUGUCAGCGGUUGGUCGCCUCGCGGUGCAGUGCUGGGCACGCGAGCCCCUCCCGCAGUCAUUCUCAGCACAAGCACCAGCCUGGAGCCCCGCAGCGACAGAGCUGAGAGCCCCCAAGCCGCAGAGGUCGUGCGGAGCAGGUUGCAAAUGUCUUAGAAACACACUCCUGGACCACAGCUUCAAGAGACGCAAGCAGUCACCUCAUCUGCUGGUUUCCAAGCUGCCCUGCCAGAAGCAGGUCAGGGGUCCCACAGGGGUCCUCAGUAACUCCUCAAAAUCCUCUCCCAUCAAUGGCCCCACCAGAUCAUCCCUACUUUUGAAUGCUUGUCCAAUGCAGGUUCCAGGCCUAAGGCAAUAGCUAAUUGAGACUAUGCAUCACUAUUAAGGCAUCUUCACUAAAGGGCGCUGUGGAAACGCUGCCUGAGAUGCAGACACCUGUCAGAAGGGGGCUAAAUUUCAAACAAGGAACGUGGUGUUGCAUCACAAUAAAGUAGAUUCUAGUAUUACCUUCCUUUUUCAGAAGAGGAGACCAAUGGGGAGCAUUGGAAUGAUUUGGUUGCAAGCAUACUACACUACUUGUAAACUGCAGACACAGGCUUAAAAAAAGUGAAAAACUAACCAUGCAAUAAAGAAUGGAAUGAACCAUGAAGCUGUUUCUGUGGCCAGUCAUGUUUUUGAAGCAUAUCCCAUGCUAAUUUCUAGAACAGAAGAAACACACGUGUUCUUGUGUGUAAACCCAGUCCAUGGAAGAGACCGUCUGCUUGUCCCUCCUGAUCUCUGGGCCCAGACAACCAGUAGUCACCAUUCCAAGUGAGGGGUGGCUGCAACUCUACAGCCCCGUUCGUCUCUCCUCACUGUCAAAGCUGCUGAGACCCCAGACUCGACACUUGAAAGAAACCCAUGUCUGUGAAGCACUUGUGGACCAUUCAAGAUUGUGGAAGAAUCACUCAAGAGAAGGAGAUAGGUGAUGGGAUCUAGCUUCUGAUGGUUUCUAUUUUAUUGAAUGUCUAAUAGGGCAAGAAUUUGAAAAACGAGAAUGUUUGCCAUGCAGGAGGACCUGGGAAGGAGAUAACACAUUUACAGGGAGAAAGAUUGGGAUUCAGUUGGGAGGAGUAACUGAGGAAAGGGGUCACUCAAAAUAUUUUGUAUUUUAGGUCCUUUUUCUAUUAAGGAGGAAUGGAUUAUCAAAGCCUUAACAUUAAAUUGUAUUGUGUCAGGUGAAUUGCUAUGGUUUGAAUGUGGUGUGUCCCCCUCCCAAACUCACAUUGAAUUUUUUUUUUUUUUUUUGAGACGGAGUCUCGCUCUGUUGCCCAGGCUGGAGUGCAGUGGUGCGAUCUUGGCUCACUACAAGCUCUGCCUCCCGGGUUCAAGAGAUUCUCCUGCCUCAGCCUCCCGAGUAGCUGGGAUUACAGAUGUUCGUCACCACACCUGGCUAAUUUUUGUAUUUUUAAUAGAGAUGGGGUUUCACUAUGUUGGCUAGGCUGGUCUCAAACUCCCGACAUCAGGUGAUCCACCCACCUCGGCCUCCCAAAGUGCUGGGAUUAGAGGAGUGAGCCACUGCACCCAGCCUCACGUUGAGGUUUAAUUGCCAUUGUAACAGUAUAAAGAUGUGGGACCUUUACGAGGUGAUUAGGCAAUGAGGACUCUGCCCUCAUGAAUGGAUUAAUGCUGUUAUCAUGGGAGUGGAUUCCUUAUAAAGGGACACGUUCAGCACCCCCUUGCUCUCUCUCUCACCUUCCGCCAUAUGAUGAUGGGGCACAAAGGCCAUCAUCAGAUGUUGGCCCCUUGUUCUCGAACUUCCCAACCUCCAGAGCAGUAAAAAAAUAAAUCACUGUUCUUUAC